RNAcentral lists this long non-coding RNA (4251 nucleotides) under Gallus gallus (chicken). RNAcentral's name for it is "lncRNA (ENSGALG00010027014.1)". Lineage: Eukaryota; Metazoa; Chordata; Aves; Galliformes; Phasianidae. The record is from RNAcentral.
CAAGCACUGAGGAAUGGCGGUAAUAUAGGAUCACACUUCAGGGCGAUCAGAUCGCAUCCCAGCAGUGCCCAUCUUGUCUGAGAGAUGCCAGAUGGGCAACAGAUUGCUCCAGAGGUCACAGCAGCCUCAUGCUUCACUCCGAGAUGCAGUCAAUAAACAGAUAUUCACCAUUUAAUUAUGCCUUAUUUGUAUGGUACAUAGCUCACAUUCACUGGAAUUUGCCAGGUACUCCAGUGUAUGACCAAAAUUGGGCCGAGAGAAACACUCUUCCAUACAGACACAAACAUUCCAAGUGACUUUGCCCACAGAUGAACGUUUUCUUUUUAAGUGGGACUGGAUAGCUAUUAAACUCAGUGUAACACUGCUCUUAAGAGAGUCAGGGAUGAUGGAUUAACUCAGAGACUGGCUAGCAACAUCUCGGUUUCCAUUCUGUAGCACAGUGGUUUGCAAGUAAACACUAAGAAGAUAACAGAGGUUAUGGAGUGAGUGAUUAUUGUCAGUAAACCAUUACACUGCAAUAUCAUGUAAGAGGCUAUUUUAGGAAUCACAGUCUUGGCAUCUGUGAUUUAUCCCUGCUAGCAGAGGUUGGAGGUUUGAAAUACCACCACAAUAUUUUCCCCUUAAAAAACACAGUGAACUUGUUAAAUAUGGAAAACUGGCAUGGAGGACACAAUGCAAGCUCAACUUUCCCAAUGCGUCCUUAAAAAAAUUUAUGAGUUUCAAGUGUUCUGCCAUUCGGUUAUAAAAAUGUUCCCAUAGAAACAGUCAUGCAACACAACUUUUUGCUAUAAACACACUGAAGGGUCUAAACUGACUGCUGCGUGUUCACUCUGCUCUGAUGUGGAGCAAAAAAGCCUCCUCCACUCCCUGCCAUCCAGGUUGCCUGGCUGUUAGAAUAAUAGCACACUUUGGCUCGUGUAUAGAGAUCUCCUCAGUUAAGCUCCAAAUGAAAUAAAGAUAUUAAAGAGGUUAAUGUUAUUUUGCAGGAAUUAGAUAAUCCAGUUUAAUUACUCAGCAUUUAAUCUCUCCCAGUUGCCCGUGAUUUGCAUACAUGAUACCAGGAGAAUGGAUAGCUGAAGCAAACCAAAUGCUGAAGACUGACAAAGUUGGACUAAUGGAAAUAAGCACGCUGGCACUAUCUGACCAAGUUCCUGGUUUCCUGCUGGUCUCAGUGCCAACCCAUCCCAGUGUGUCUGAUUUUGUACCUCCAGGUGCGGUGGAAGAGCUUCAAAAUUAGAAAACACCAAUGCUGACCAAACUGGAAAUGCUCAGCAGCCUCAUCUAAGGUCAACCCAUUGUUCAACCGCUGUGAUGCUGCCUAUACUUAAAGAGCAGCCUGCCAGCUUUAUCAGAACUUCAGUGUGGUGUGGAAAUGCCUUUUCCUUCAUUAUUUUCCUGCAGACAUACUGCCUGUAAAAACUGCCAGCUGGAUGGUCUCGGAAGUGGAGGCUAUUCACUGUGCAGAGCACACGCUGUCACACAGUGAUGCCAGGUGGAGGGUGGGGUAGAAAGGUUCCUGGGCUGUGCUUUUUGGCCAAGAGUUUCCCUUCUUUGCUAUCACUGGUUUUGCUCCAUUUGUGGUAAUAACAGUAGAGAGCAAUUGUUCAGGCGGCACUCAAAGGUGGUGCUUUUGCCAGUGUCAUCUACAGAAAUGUAAAACAAAACACAACAGUAUCUGCUGGCUCCCAGGCUUUUAGAGUAGCACCAUCUACCACCACCACUGAUGGAACCAGCCCAGGAAUACCAAUUACUUUGGGUUUUUUUUUUCCUACAGAAUUUAGAUGAGGCCACUCUGGUUCAUCUUUGAGCUGAAAGUACAAAUUCCACAUCUACUGAAUGUUCAGCCUGUCAUCCAACUCGUGCUCCUUGCUCAGGUCAUUGGUAUUGCUGUCUGGUAUCACCACCUUCUGAUGGCAUAAGAUUGCCCUGCAUUACAACAAAAGCCUUGGUUAAACAGAGUAGAUCUGAUUAUUUGAAGGAAGCUCUUCCUUAUGUACUUUGGAUACUCGUUUUCCCUGGUCAUAGCACUAGAUCAUUUAUUCACUGAAAAUCUCCAUGGAAGUUUGCAGCAGAGAUGUAGGAAAUUAAGCCUUUCCCUGGGACUCAGCAGUAAGUGCACGUCAUAGCGGAGGCUGCUAUGCAGUCAGUAAGUCACUUUGGAAACUGCUGCCCAUGUAUGCCCCGAAUUCCUGCCAGCUCAGGCUCCCUUGGGUUACAAGGCAGAGGAUCGGAGUGCCCCAGCAUUGAAAUGCACCAUCCAAAGCAGGUGAUGUAAAAGGUGCCGUAGCAGGGUAGCAUCAGCCUCAUCUACUGAGAUAGAACUGGCUGCAGUUCUGCACAAACACUGGCACACACACCAGUUAUGCUUGGAACUCUGCUAACAAGGCAGGGUUUGGAGGACUUCACUCUUGGACUUGAAUGUCCAAAUUCCACUGUAGCCUUGGCUCCAAAACGCAAGCCCUUCUGGGCCAAGGUCCUUCCAUGACUCAGUUCAAAGCACAUAAAGUAGAGAAAAUAAUCACUCCUUGUCAAGGAGAUGAGCUGCAAAUAAGUCAUGUAAAAUAUUCUGAUGUCUGUAUUAUUUUUUUCCUACUUGGGAUCAAUGGCAAAAUGGACACUGUGCGGAAAACCACAACCCAACAGGAACAGAAUUAACUGCUGCAGGAACUGAUAUUCCUAACAGCACUGAAUGACAAAAGAGGGGAAACUUCAGCACAGCCUCCUUCGAACAUCUCAGCCAUAGCUGGGAUUCUUUUCCAGAAAACAAAUGAAGGGGGUAUCUAAGAGCUAUGAAUACUGCAAAUUGACCUUUACAUUUGCCUACAGCCUUCUGGGUUACCUACGCUCUCCUAACAUGAUCCAGGACUUCUGCAUCCCAUUUCCUCCCCUUUUCCACACUUGCUGCCAGCUUUGCAAUCAUUUCUACUCUGACAAAUACACUUUCUCUCCUCAUCUCCAUUUCUGGGUUACUUCACAAAAUAAAGCCUUCGAAAGCUAGAGAUCUCCUUUUGACCAGUUAUAGUCACAAGUACUGCACACGGGAACACCUGAUGAAUUCUCAUCUGUCUUUCUCUCUCCAUGCCAAGGGCAAGGGUAAAGAUAAUAUUUCAUGGCGUAAGCUGCCUUACAAAACGCUCAGGGGCAGGUUGUAACACUCUUGUUUCCAAAACACAUUUUUUAUCAAGGCAAAAAGUAAACAAACAAAAAAGCCUCCAUUUUGAAGCAACAUACUCUGAACACGUGAACAGCUUCCAUCUCUAGCUUGGUUCCAUGGAUGGAUGACCUGCUUGUUAUGUACAGGAAAAGUCAAUACACUUCAGAGUGCUCAAAGACUGAAAGCAUUAUGUCCAUUUAACACCCGUGUAUGCAAAACUCACUGUACUCUUUGGGGGAAAAAAACCAAAAACCUGAAAAUAACUCUUUUUUUUCCCCCAGAAAAAUGAAAGAAAACACAGAGGACAUUAAAACGACCAAGUAACUUAAGGCUAUGAAGUCUACCAGUUAUAAAUAAGGAGGACACAGUAUACAAAUCCAAGUCAGGCAAACAAGCGCUCACUUGUGAUCUUGUUCCACAGUCAAGACAGUAAAAUAAUAAUGGGGAGGGAAGGCCGUGGAACAGCACCUGCAAUGAAAACGGGAGGGCUAUCACACAGCUUCUUAUAAACCUUGACUAUGUCAAUGCUCCCUUUGUUAUUUAUCAGGUUUUGCUUUAGAUGAACUCCAGUAUCAUUAUCAGCAUUAUACUGAUGCGUGCUGAAACACAGCAUUUGAAUCUACCAUCUGACACACCUUCAGAUAUGUUUUGUUUUUAUUCCUUGAUUACUCCUUAAUAGCAACAGCUUUGGCACUUCUCAUUACUUGGAGCAUGAGCAAGGUUGUCCAGAUCCCACGAACCAGGAACACUUUGUAUGUCCUAGAACAGAAGUGGUGAGGCAGAAAUGAGGUGCAGCUCAUAAAAAAAUAAAAGAUAAAACAAGGGGCUUUUGAUUGCUUGGACUUUUUGAUAGCUGUUCAAAGAGCAAUGUUAUAAAGCACUUAGAUGUCUUUCUGGCAGAGCUGCAACAGAGAGCACUGCCCAGCAAAUAAUUCCAACAACAGCAUCUCUCCAUUGAGACAUUUACAUAGAGCUGGAAUUAAUAAUUUGUUUCUUACUACAAAUGUGCUCCACAAUCUUAUCUGGGUUAAAUUAAAAUUGGCACCGCAGCAGACAGGCAAGUGCAGAUCAAGCCAAAGGUGUUCCUUCACUUUUGU